UACAGAGGGGGCAAGCGUUGUUCGGAAUUACUGGGCGUAAAGGGCGCGUAGGCGGCCUGCUAAGUCGAACGUGAAAUCCCCGAGCUCAACUCGGGAACUGCGUCCGAUACUGGCAGACUUGAAUCCGGGAGAGGGAUGCGGAAUUCCAGGUGUAGCGGUGAAAUGCGUAGAUAUCUGGAGGAACACCGGUGGCGAAGGCGGCAUCCUGGACCGGCAUUGACGCUGAGGCGCGAAAGCCAGGGGAGCAAACGGG
RNAcentral lists this ribosomal RNA (253 nucleotides) under uncultured bacterium. RNAcentral describes it as "partial 16S ribosomal RNA". It matches the Rfam family "Bacterial small subunit ribosomal RNA", at positions 524 to 776 of the family's 1533-position model. The record is from RNAcentral.